AUGGGCAUGAAAUAUCAUAACUCUAAUGAAGAUGACUUCAAGUCUUAUGCUGGAAAACUGAAAUUUCAUAUUGAUUUGAACAAAUUUCCAGAGAUUGAAGAUUCUUUUGAUAUGAAAAAUGCAAAAGAAAAUACAAAGGUGAAUUCUAGACACUAUGCUCACUCAACUUCCAGUUCCUUGGAGAAGACUGAGAACCUUCAUGAAUUUAACAAAGAUGUAGAGGAAGAAGUUCCUUUCAGCCAUGAACAUGAAGCUGUGAAGAAUGAGGUUAUGCAUGUGCUGUGA
Molecule: non-coding RNA, 285 nt
Organism: Vicia faba (fava bean)
Lineage: Eukaryota; Viridiplantae; Streptophyta; Magnoliopsida; Fabales; Fabaceae
Source: the annotation of a GenBank genome assembly